GAAAAGGUUUUGCAGGCUGGUUUGAUUCACGGUUUGAAGAAUUCCCCUUUCUCUGGGAUUUGUCUCUCCAAUAUCAACCUUCGUGGUAACCCCGGCCCACGAAAUUCCAUUUGGAAAUGCUCAGAUGUUAGCGGAGCUGCCAUUCAAGUCAGCCCUUUUCCUUGUGCAGAACUCACCAGCAGCCAAAAAACUGGUGCAUGCUCUACCUACUUCUAAGUAUGCUGUAGUAAUUCUUUGCUUCCAAUUCAAUUCAGUAUAUCACAAAAACGAAACGAAGAAUUUUCUUCAUGUUCUAAGUAAAAUUGUAAUUUCAACUUCGCACACAAUCAUAUUGUAUACAUAUUUUCCUACACACCU
Molecule: unclassified non-coding RNA, 357 nt
Filed under: Hevea brasiliensis (rubber tree)
Lineage: Eukaryota; Viridiplantae; Streptophyta; Magnoliopsida; Malpighiales; Euphorbiaceae
Source: RNAcentral